This 576-nucleotide ribosomal RNA is filed under the name Bacillus sp. CH352a_12D. RNAcentral describes it as "bacterial SSU rRNA". It matches the Rfam family "Bacterial small subunit ribosomal RNA", at positions 59 to 615 of the family's 1533-position model. Lineage: Bacteria; Bacillati; Bacillota; Bacilli; Caryophanales; Bacillaceae. The record is from RNAcentral.
CAGUCGAGCGGACCUUUUAAAAGCUUUGCUUUUGAAAGGUCAGCGGCGGACGGGUGAGUAACACGUGGGCAACCUGCCUGUAAGACUGGGAUAACUUCGGGAAACCGGAGCUAAUACCGGAUAAUAUAAGGAACCUCCUGGUUCUUUAUUGAAAGAUGGUUUCGGCUAUCACUUACAGAUGGGCCCGCGGCGCAUUAGCUAGUUGGUGAGGUAAUGGCUCACCAAGGCGACGAUGCGUAGCCGACCUGAGAGGGUGAUCGGCCACACUGGGACUGAGACACGGCCCAGACUCCUACGGGAGGCAGCAGUAGGGAAUCUUCCACAAUGGACGAAAGUCUGAUGGAGCAACGCCGCGUGAGCGAUGAAGGCCUUCGGGUCGUAAAGCUCUGUUGUUAGGGAAGAACAAGUGCGAGAGUAACUGCUCGCACCUUGACGGUACCUAACCAGAAAGCCACGGCUAACUACGUGCCAGCAGCCGCGGUAAUACGUAUGUGGCAAGCGUUGUCCGGAAUUAUUGGGCGUAAAGCGCGCGCAGGUGGUCCUUUAAGUCUGAUGUGAAAGCCCACGGCUCAACCG